GAAAUAUAGGCUAAUUACNUAAACCAUAGGCCUUCAAAGCCUAAAUCGUGAACUCACUAUUUCUG
This 65-nucleotide transfer RNA is filed under the name Holcosus quadrilineatus (four-lined Ameiva). RNAcentral describes it as "tRNA-Trp". Lineage: Eukaryota; Metazoa; Chordata; Lepidosauria; Squamata; Teiidae. The record is from RNAcentral.